UCGUUUUCCCUUCAAAGUCCGGGUAAGUAAUCUAUGGUGCAGUUAAAAUACUAAACUAAAAGGAAAAAGAAAGGUCCCUAAUUCAGGCAAUGUCGGCUAAUAGAUUUUCUGAUGUGCAUAUCAAAUAUAUAAUUGUAAGCAUCUGGAUUAUCUACUUCCUGCAAAUGUUGCAGAAGCUUGAUACACAGAUGAUACAAUUACAAUAAUAGGUGGCUACAUGCUUUUACUUAGGACUGAUUUUAUUUCAAAGUGGUCCCUGCUUUUGUGCAGUGGAUAUUCUUCUUUAAAUUUUUGGUCCAAAAAUUACAAAAAUUGUUUUUCUGUCGUGCAAAGGUGGGCUGACCAUGCCUAUGCUUUUGGUAUUUAUCUGAGUUUUUUAUGUACAAAAUGUAACAUCAAUUAAUAUUUUUCUCCCCUUUCCUCCUUUCUAAAUUUGUUCAGUCUUCAUCUUGCUCAUCAGGUGGUUUAGAUCUGCCGUUGUUUGUUUUAGUUUGCAAAUCCUAUUACUGAAUAGUUGAAAUUUACUGCAUGUGCCCUGUAUGUGUGCAUUAAAGUACUGUGGUAAAAUUAAACAGCUUGUCCUUUUGUCCCUAUCUUCAUUGAAACCUGCAAAGUUGCUUGACACUAAAUUUGAUUCCCCUAUGCACUAUGUAAAAACCAGAGGGCUGCAUGUGAUAGACAACCCUCCCCUACCUAACCCUCACAAAGUAGAGAGCCUCAUGCACUUCGGGUGCCUUUUUAUUCAGAGACUGAAUAAAGUGCAGUUUUUGCCACCGAACUUCUUCACUUCCUUGUGGGGAGAAAUUUCCCUGCUUGGUGUUUUUCUUUACACCUGCUUUGUUCUAUUUCCAAGCUUUGGAAAUAUCUAAAUCAGCCUCACCUGGCUUAGAUUAUCACAAUGCUGUAUUGUCCUUGGGUAACCGUCCUACAACAUCUUCAUGUUUCUUCAGUGGUGCUUUGCCCAUUUAUCAAGAUCCAUAUUUUGUUGGGCUAUCAUUCAAUUUCCUUUCUAUCUUUCUAACUGAUUGUACUCCACAUCUUGUGUAUAAAACAUUUUCACCAAAUGAAAGUCUGCUCCCAUAGUUUUAUGACUCCAUCCAUUUUAGAGAAAGUUGCCUGCUUUUGUAGGAUUAAAAGACAAUAAGGACAAUCUUCUGUCCCUGGUGUAAGGUUAUUGAUAUAAUUGAGUUGUUUUAAUGAGAGGCACUAUAUGAAACUGUUGCUGUGCAAAUUCUUGAAGUUAUUGUUUAACAAAAUUAUUUGGCACCAAAAUUCAUUGUACUUGGUUGAUGGUUUUCAUGCACCUGAUUGCAGGCUACCUGUGAGGCAGCUGCUGAAAAGCAGAUUCAACAGCUAUUGUUUCCAAGGUCUCGCCGAAAGAAAUUUAGAAGUCAUGCUGAUGGACUUAGGGACUCCAAGUCAUUUUAGUUCUGCUGUUGUAACUAAUAUUGAGGAAGGAUUUUGCAGUUUUUAAAUAAAUUUUUAGGCUGGGUUUGUCAUCGAUGUAGGCCUUUAAGAAAUCCAAUAAAUUACAGAUGAGAAAAACCUUCUUUACAUUUUGAAAUAUAUAUCAAAAGGUUUUUUGGCUUUUAUAUUUUAAGAAUUAAAAAUUAUCCCACUUGAAAGGUUGUAAUUGGC
This 1638-nucleotide unclassified non-coding RNA is filed under the name Hevea brasiliensis (rubber tree). The record is from RNAcentral. Lineage: Eukaryota; Viridiplantae; Streptophyta; Magnoliopsida; Malpighiales; Euphorbiaceae.